RNAcentral lists this ribosomal RNA (497 nucleotides) under uncultured bacterium. Its description in RNAcentral is "partial 16S ribosomal RNA". It matches the Rfam family "Bacterial small subunit ribosomal RNA", at positions 28 to 507 of the family's 1533-position model. The record is from RNAcentral.
GAUGAACGCUGGCGGCGUGCCCAAUACAUGCAAGUCGAGCGAACGGACGAGAAGCUUGCUUCUCUGAUGUUAGCGGCGGACGGGUGAGUAACACGUGGAUAACCUACCUAUAAGACUGGGAUAACUUCGGGAAACCGGAGCUAAUACCGGAUAAUAUUUUGAACCGCAUGGUUCAAAAGUGAAAGACGGUCUUGCUGUCACUUAUAGAUGGAUCCGCGCUGCAUUAGCUAGUUGGUAAGGUAACGGCUUACCAAGGCAACGAUGCAUAGCCGACCUGAGAGGGUGAUCGGCCACACUGGAACUGAGACACGGUCCAGACUCCUACGGGAGGCAGCAGUAGGGAAUCUUCCGCAAUGGGCGAAAGCCUGACGGAGCAACGCCGCGUGAGUGAUGAAGGUCUUCGGAUCGUAAAACUCUGUUAUUAGGGAAGAACAUAUGUGUAAGUAACUGUGCACAUCUUGACGGUACCUAAUCAGAAAGCCACGGCUAACUACGUG